AUAUUUGACUGUUUCCACCUUUGGGUUAUGCUGCUGUGAAUACUGUGUUCGGUUUUCAGGGACCCCACCGGUUCAGUUGCCUGGGGUGCAUCCCCCCACUGGAACUGCCAAGUGACUUGCUGACUUCAUGUUUAACUUUUUGGGGCACCGUCCAACUCCUGUCCAAGCCACCCUUGUGGAGGUGAAGACAGCUCACUGUGGGUUCCAUUUGCACUUCCUGACGGUCAGUGCUGCUGACCAUCUCUUCCUGUGCUUAGCAGCCACCUGUAUGUUUUGGAGAAAUACAUAUUCAAAUAUAUUCUCCAUUUUGAAUUUGUAAGAGUUAUGUAUGUACGCUGAAUGUAAGCCCCUGAUCAGACGCGUGAUGUGCAAAGAUUUUCUCCGUUCUAUGGAUUAUCUUUUCACUUUUUUGGGGGGCGGGAAUUUGGGAUUGAACAGAGAGCCUCCACACUGAGCUACAUCCCCAGCCUUUUAAAAACUGUUAUUUUUGUUUUUAAGUUUGAGACAGUGUCUCACUAAGAUAAAAUGUUGCCAGAUAGGGCUCAAAUUUGUAAUCUUCCUGCCUCAACUUUUCAAAGACUUUUCACUUUCCUGAUGCUCUCCCGAGAAUCAUAAAUUUUCAAUUGUGGCAGUCCAAUUUAUCCUGAUUUAUAUAUUCUAUUUAUUUUGGUCACUUGCACUUAUCUAAAAUCUCAUUGCUUAAAACAAAGUAAAAACAAAGGAGGGUUAUUCCUGUGUUUUCAUCAUUUCUUUUCUUUUUUUUGGGGGGAGGGGUCUUUUUGAGACAGGGUCUCCCUAGGCAGUUCAGGCUGGCCUUGAGCUCACUUUGCAGCCCAGGGUGGUAUCGAACUCACAACGAUCCUCCUGCCUCAGCCUCCCGAGUGCUGAGAUUACAGGCAUGAGCCACCACACCCAGCUAUUCCUAUGUUUUCAUAUGAGAGUUUUAUGAUUUUAGGCCUGACCUGGUAGUACACACCUGUAAUCCCAGCACUGCCAGGCUGAGGCAGACGGAUUACUGCAAGUUUAAGGCCAACCUGCGCUGCAUAGUGAGUUCAGUGCCAGCCAGAACUACAUAAUGAAACCCUGUGUCAAAGAAAGAAGGAAAGAAAGAAAGAAAGAAAGAAAGAAAGAAAGAAAGAAAGAAAGAAAGAAAGAGAAAGUUUUAUGGUUUUAGUUCCUACAUUUAAGUCUUUGGGCCAUUUUUAAUUACUUUCUUAAAAAAUGUGUGAAUAAAGGCCCAACUUCACUCUGCAUGUGGAUACACAGCUGCAUCAGAAUCAUUUGCUGAAACCUUUGUUUUUGUUUUUGUUUUUUUUUUUGGUAAUACUGGGUUUAGAGCCUUUGUGCUGAGAGCUGCAUUGAUGGAAUCUUUGUAGCAAGCUGUGUCCCAGGCCUUUUAAAAUACUUUAUUUUGAGACAGGAUCUCACUAAAUUGCUAAAUUUCCCAGGUGGGCUUGAACUUGUGAUUUAUGUGCCUCAGCCUCUCAGAAUUCUGGGGUUACAGGUGUGUACUGCUACACCUGAUUUUCUUUUUCUCUAAUGAAAUAUUCUGUUUUUCCUCUCUCUCUCUCUCUCCUUUCCUUCCUUCCUUCCUUUGUUUUUUUUUUUUUUUUUCUUCCUUUGUUUUUUCCUCUGUUUCUUUCUUCCUUUCUUUUUUUGUAGUUGAUUGAACCCGGGGCCUUGUGCAUACUAUAGGUAAGUGAUUACUACUGAGCUACAGCCCCAAACCCAAAACUUUUUUUUGCAGAUGUGCUUUGCUCUGAGUGGUGUUAAUGGGAGCUCACAUUCUCCAAACACACCCCAGCUGCUGUUGUCAGCAGUAUUGUGUGCUAGGAAGAGGGUGUUUUCUCUCUAGAUAAUUAAAGCCUGCUCUAGAGUAUGAUAGCCAUGAGUACAAGGCUCAAAGUUUGGUGCACAUCAGUCAUUUGGGGAAAUUGUUUUAGAUGAAGAUCCUCAUGCCAACUCUCAUCUACUACAUGAGAGUUUCCCCGCAACACUCUACCUCUUCCCCAGGUAGAACCAUAAAAUAGUAGAGACAGAAGAGGUCAUUCUGAGUUCACUUAAUUCAUCUCCCAGUUUUAAAUCAGUCAUAGAGCCAGGAAGUGAUUGAUCUAAGCUCUCACUCCCUACACCUCAGGGCCAGCCUGAGUACUUUGCUUAAACCUCCUCUAUACAUCUAAAUCAGAAGCAGUGUGAGUAAUUAUUUUUUUUACUAAAGUUUUCGUGGGAAGAUGGAGAAAAGAAUUACAUCAUAUUCAAUUUAAUUAGCUCUCCCUCAUCUGACUGGCUGGACCUGUUCUGCUUCUAGAAGUUUUCUCCUUGUUUCCAUGGGGCUGCUCGCCCUUUCUCUUUCCCUAACUAACCUUAGAGAUUCUCUUUCUUCCACUCAGCCACCGUCCCAUUUGUAUAUCGCACUCACUAAAACAAAAAAGCAUAAUAGUUACCUAAAAAGUAAAGUACUGCACUCCUGUAAUCUCAGCUACUCAGGAGGCUGAGGCAGAAGGGUCUUGAGGGUGAAGUCAGCCUGGGCAAUGGAGAGAGACCCUGUCUUAAAACCAUAAAAUAAAAAAGGCUGGGUGUAGCUCACUAGAAGAGCACAACCCCAGCUGCUGUGAAACCCUGGGCGGGUUCAAUAUCCUGUACUGCGUAGAUAAAUAAAUACUUAAAAAGCAACCAA
Long non-coding RNA from Cavia porcellus (domestic guinea pig), 2677 nucleotides. RefSeq lists it as uncharacterized. The transcript is spliced from 2 exons. NCBI's taxonomy places the organism in Eukaryota, Metazoa, Chordata, Mammalia, Rodentia, Caviidae. The record is from RefSeq and is a predicted model, not a curated record.